Molecule: long non-coding RNA, 1017 nt
Filed under: Homo sapiens (human)
Lineage: Eukaryota; Metazoa; Chordata; Mammalia; Primates; Hominidae
Description: non-protein coding lnc-PPP1R2B-2:1
Source: RNAcentral
ACCAUAGGUUCUCCAUCAUGCCCAGCUAAUGUUUUUUUUUAUUUUCAGUAGAGAUGAAGUCUCACUAAGUUGCCCAAGUUGGUCUUAAACCCUGGGGCUCAAGCUAUCCUCCUGCCUCGGCCUCCUAAAGUGCUGAGAUUAUAUGUGUGAACCACCAUGCCCAGCUGCCAGGGAAACUUUAAUCACCACAAACUCAGUAUAAAGUAACUAGGUGAGAUACUGCUGUUUUAAAUAUGAUUGUCGUCUUAGGUUGCAUUGUAGAAUAAUGUGAUGGCUUUAUUCUAUUCUAUGGUGGCCAGGCCUCUGCAUUCAUUUCAAGCAACACUUGGCCAGGCUUGAUGAUGUAUGCCUAUAAUCCCAGCACUGUGGGAUGCCGAGGUAGCGGGAUCACUUGAGCCCAGGAGUUUGAGACUAGCCUGGGCAACAUAGCAAUGCCCCAUCUCAAUUGAAAAAAAAAUAAUAAAACAAACAACAUCAUUUUUAAGAUCCUUAUUAAAAUAUAAACUACAUACCGUAAAUUCACCUGUAUUAAGUGUUCAAUUCAAUGGUUUUUAACAUAUUUACAGAUGUAUGCUACUAUAGCUAUAAUCUAAUUUUAGAAGAUUUUCAUUGCCCCUAAAAGAAAUCUAGCACCCAUUAGUGGUCACUCCCCAUUUUUUGCAUCCUCCGCCCCACAUAACCAAAAAUUUUUCCUUUUUUUUUUUUGAGACAGGGUUUCACUCUGUCACUCAGGACAGAGUGCAGUGGGCAUGAUCAUGGCUCACUGCAGCCUUGAUCUCUUGGGCUCAAAUGAUCCUCUUCCCUCAGCCUCCCUAACUACUGGGAUUACAGGAGUGAGUCAUCUUGCCUGGCCAUAAGCACUAAUCUCUAUGUCUCUACAGAUUCACCUAUUCUAGAAAUUUUGUGUAAGUGAAAUCAUACAAUAUGUAGUCUUUUGUAUCUGGCUUCUUUAUCAUAAUGUUUUUGAGGUUUAUCCAUGUUGCGUGAAUCAGUACUUAUUUUAUUUUAUUUUAUUUU